RNAcentral lists this ribosomal RNA (468 nucleotides) under uncultured bacterium. RNAcentral's name for it is "partial 16S ribosomal RNA". It matches the Rfam family "Bacterial small subunit ribosomal RNA", at positions 28 to 507 of the family's 1533-position model. The record is from RNAcentral.
GACGAACGCUGGCGGCGUGCUUAACACAUGCGAGUCGAACGGAGAGGCCCUGCUUUUGUGGUGUGCUCGAGUGGCGAACGUGUGAGUAACACGUGAGUAACCUGCCCUUGACUUUGGUAUAACUUCAGGAAACUGGGGCUAAUACCGGAUAGGAGCUCCUGCUGCAUGGUGGGGGUUGGAAAGUUUCGGCGGUUGGGGAUGGACUCGCGGCUUAUCAGCUUGUUGGUGGGGUAGUGGCUUACCAAGGCUUUGACGGGUAGCCGGCCUGAGAGGGUGACCGGCCACAUUGGGACUGAGAUACGGCCCAGACUCCUACGGGAGGCAGCAGUGGGGAAUAUUGCACAAUGGGCGGAAGCCUGAUGCAGCAACGCCGCGUGAGGGAUGACGGCCUUCGGGUUGUAAACCGCUUUCGCCUGUGACGAAGCGUGAGUGACGGUAAUGGGUAAAGAAGCACCGGCUAACUACGUG